This is a long non-coding RNA of Sapajus apella (tufted capuchin), 1041 nucleotides long. RefSeq lists it as uncharacterized. NCBI's taxonomy places the organism in Eukaryota, Metazoa, Chordata, Mammalia, Primates, Cebidae. The record is from RefSeq and is a predicted model, not a curated record. The transcript is spliced from 4 exons.
GUAGACCUGAUUCUAACUUUAUGGCUCAAACCAAUAGGACAAUUUGCUGAGGUCUGAGAGCAACCCCUCCAGAGAAUCCCUGAUCUCUCAAAAUUUGGUCAAGACCUAAAGUUUAUUUUGCUGUACAACUCAUUUUUUUUUUUUUUUUUUGGAGUUUUACUUGUUUCCAACAAGGAAGGCAAGACUUCCUGUUUCCAUAAUGAUAGAAACAGGUAAAUCCUUUAUGGAGUUUGAGCUCACUUCCAACAGGGAAGAUGGAAUUUUUUGUUUGUUUUUUCCUCCUUCUAGAAUGGUAGAGAGCAGUCUAUAGUCGGAGACCCAUCCCUAGGUUUCUGAUCACUUUGGAGAUUGUAACACUAGAAUAGAGGAAAAACUUUCGGGACUCUCAUGGAGAGCUGAAAUGUUCAUGAGUAUCAAGCAGAACAGGAGCUGUGCUUUUGUAAAGCCCUGCGAACUGAAGCUUGACAACUUAAACUUCAGAAGCAAUAACAGCAACGCAUUUACAUACAUAAGCCACUUUCAUACCUGCCUACUGAUGUAUGGACUCCAGAGUAAUGUGGCCUAUAUUAAUUUUCCAGGAUUAUAAUUUUGUUUGUGGUUGUUUUUCUCCCUUCCUUCCCUUAUUUUCUCUUCACGGGACAUGAGACUUUACAACCUGUUAAAAAUGAGCUUUCCUAAUACCUUGGGAUCUACCUGUCUAAGAAUAAACCAUCCUAAUCAUGAAAGAUCAGAUGAAACCUGAUACCAGAGACUCAUUUUCUUCUAAAAUGCUUCUCCAAAAGAUUUUUGAAAAGAGAAGGGGGAAAAUGUGAAUGGAAAAGAAGUUGUGGGGUCCCCAAAUCGCUAAGCUAAAGGGAAAAAGUCAAGUUGGGAACAGCAUAGGGUCAAUCUGCCUCCCAUUCUAUUAAAAGUCACCCUUCAGCUCACUGAGAUAAAUACACAUCUAAUUGCCUCCUUUGGAGGGGUUAAUCAGAAACUCAAAAGAAUGCAACCAUUUGUCUCUUAUCUACCUAUGACUUGGAAGCCCCCUCCCUGGUUUGC